AGAAGAAUAACAAGCAUAGUUAAAUAAAACCUAAACUCUAAACUUUAUCAUGGUAUUAGAGCAUAGUUAAAAUUCUUCUCUCUCUGCAGCCCCCAUCCAGAAUUGGUCUUGAAACAAGGGACCAACCAUGGAUGAUACAAAUACCUCUAUAAUUCCUAUAAAACAUACUCCAGUCUCUGUUGAAUCACCCAACCUAAACAACUUACCCUUUGGAUUCAAAUUAAAUGAGACAAACUUCAAAAUCUGGUCAUGAAUGAUUGAGCUUCAUGCUGCUGGAUUGAACAAACUUGGCUACUUAAAUGGACAAAACGCUAGAAUGGAAGAAGGAAAUCCCGAUUACUCAAGAUGGUGCAUUGAAGAUGCAGUGGUGAGAGGAUGGCUGCUGAAAACCAUGGAGCCUCAUCUCAUUGGCUUAUUUAUACACCUUUCAUCAGCCAAGGAAAUAUGGGAUAGUGUAACUCAAACCUUCUAUGAUGGGGCUGAUGAGUCUCAAUUUUAUGAGUUACGCUGCAAGGCAACAAGAACAAAACAAAAUGGAUGUCCAGUUAACUUAUACUACGCAGAACUUAACAGCGUCUGGCAAGAAAUUGAUAAACGACGACCAAUUAAGAUGAUGUGUACUGCAAACCUUAGAACCAGACAAGAAGAAAUCCAAAAAGAUCGGAUUUAUGACUUUCUCGCGGGACUAGAUGAGGUAUUCGACCCAGUACACAGUGAUCUUCUUCGCAUGAAAUCUGUUCCAGGUAUUGAAGAGUGCUUCAAUACUGUUCGACGAGAGGCUCAAUGCCGAGUCACCAUGUUUGGCACAAAGAACACGGGUGAAGGUACUUUCAUGGCAAUGAUUUCCAAAUCCACCGCCUCCUCUAACUUUCGCACCCUUAGAGCUGUUGAGGAAGUAGAAAAGGAUAAAUUGCGCUGUAGUCAUUGUAAUGGAAGUCACCAUACCAGAGACACUUGUUUUGAAAUUCAUGGCUAUCCCGAAUGGUUCUUAGAAAAACGGAAGCAAGGUAAAGCACGCAGCAAUUAACGUCCAGGCCAAGCAAAAUUAGCCAAUACGGUGGAGAUUCCUUCUAGUGUUGCUACUAUGGCAACAGGUCAAGGAGACCAUAUAAAACCGGGUGAAAUACUCUCUUUAGCCAAUACAACUGACUCCCUUCCAACCUCAGAAAACAUUGGAAUGAUGUUUUCUACAUCCACAAUUCAAGAUACAGGAUAUCCGGACUCAAGCGAUCAUUGGACGUGGUACUAUGAGGAAGGGGCUUUACUAUGUGGAUGAUGUUGCGUCAGGUCACAUCCAUCAAGUUCAGAGUCGCAAUGUUCAUGACUACAAGAAUAUUUGGUUGUGGCA
Molecule: RNA transcript, 1348 nt
Organism: Populus nigra (black poplar)
Lineage: Eukaryota; Viridiplantae; Streptophyta; Magnoliopsida; Malpighiales; Salicaceae
Exons: 2
Source: RefSeq, a predicted model, not a curated record